GAUGAAGAACGUAGCGAAAUGCGAUAAGUAAUGUGAAUUGCAGAAUUCAGUGAAUCAUCGAAUCUUUGAACGCACAUUGCGCCCAUUAGUAUUCUAGUGGGCAUGCCUGUUCGAGCGUCAUUAAGUCCACUUAAGCCCUGCUUAGUGUUGGGAGACUGCUCCAGCGGUGCUACCCUGUAGCUACCCUGCAGCUCCUCAAAGACAGCGGCGGAGUUGUGGUAUCCUCUGAGCUUAGUAACUUGUUCUAGCUUUCGAGUACACCACUUCCCCUGCCGUAAAACCCUUAAUUUUUAAUGGUUGACCUCGGAUCAGGUAGGAAUACCCGCUGAACUUAAGCAUAUCAUAAGCGGAGGA
RNAcentral lists this unclassified non-coding RNA (354 nucleotides) under soil metagenome. Its description in RNAcentral is "partial contains 5.8S ribosomal RNA, internal transcribed spacer 2, and large subunit ribosomal RNA". The stretch from base 1 to 120 matches the Rfam family "5.8S ribosomal RNA", at positions 35 to 154 of the family's 154-position model. The record is from RNAcentral.